AGAGUUUGAUUCUGGCUACAGGAUGAACGCUGGCGGCGUGCUUAACACAUGCAAGUCGAACGGAGUUUUAAACGGAAGUCCUCGGAUGGAAGUUUAGAAACUUAGUGGCGGACGGGUGAGUAACGCGUGGGUAACCUGCCUCAUACAGGGGGAUAACAGUCGGAAACGAUUGCUAAAACCGCAUAACAUAGCGAAACCGCAUGAUUUUGCUAUCAAAUAUUUAUAGGUAUGAGAUGGGCCCGCGUCUGAUUAGCUAGUUGGUGGGGUAAUGGCCUACCAAGGCGACGAUCAGUAGCCGGCUUGAGAGAGUGACCGGCCACAUUGGGACUGAGACACGGCCCAAACUCCUACGGGAGGCAGCAGUGGGGAAUAUUGGACAAUGGGGGAAACCCUGAUCCAGCCGACGCCGCGUGAGUGAAGAAGUAUUUCGGUAUGUAAAGCUCUAUCAGCAGGGAAGAUAAUGACAGUACCUGACUAAGAAGCCCCGGCUAACUACGUGCCAGCCGCCGC
RNAcentral lists this ribosomal RNA (510 nucleotides) under uncultured bacterium. Its description in RNAcentral is "bacterial SSU rRNA". It matches the Rfam family "Bacterial small subunit ribosomal RNA", at positions 8 to 518 of the family's 1533-position model. The record is from RNAcentral.